GAUGGCCUGUAUUCUUAGUGGCGGACGGGUGAGUAACACGUGAGCAACCUGCCUUCAAGAGGGGGAUAGCACCUGGAAACGGGUGGUAAUACCGCAUAAGACCACAGUGUCGCAUGGCACAGAGGUCAAAGGAGCAAUCCGCUUGAAGAUGGGCUCGCGUCCGAUUAGAUAGUUGGUGAGGUAACGGCUCACCAAGUCGACGAUCGGUAGCCGGACUGAGAGGUUGAACGGCCACAUUGGGACUGAGACACGGCCCAGACUCCUACGGGAGGCAGCAGUGGGGGAUAUUGCACAAUGGGCGAAAGCCUGAUGCAGCGACGCCGCGUGAGGGAAGACGGCCUUCGGGUUGUAAACCUCUGUCAUUCGGGACGAAUAUAUGACGGUACCGAAGAAGGAAGCUCCGGCUAACUACGUGCCAGCAGCCGCGGUAAUACGUAGGGAGCGAGCGUUGU
This 452-nucleotide ribosomal RNA is filed under the name uncultured bacterium. Its description in RNAcentral is "bacterial SSU rRNA". It matches the Rfam family "Bacterial small subunit ribosomal RNA", at positions 78 to 544 of the family's 1533-position model. The record is from RNAcentral.